RNAcentral lists this ribosomal RNA (492 nucleotides) under uncultured bacterium. RNAcentral's name for it is "partial 16S ribosomal RNA". It matches the Rfam family "Bacterial small subunit ribosomal RNA", at positions 29 to 507 of the family's 1533-position model. The record is from RNAcentral.
AGUGAACGCUGGCGGUAGGCCUAACACAUGCAAGUCGAACGGCAGCACAGUAAGAGCUUGCUCUUACGGGUGGCGAGUGGCGGACGGGUGAGGAAUACAUCGGAAUCUACUUUUUCGUGGGGGAUAACGUAGGGAAACUUACGCUAAUACCGCAUACGACCUACGGGUGAAAGCAGGGGCUCUUCGGACCUCGCGCGAUUGAAUGAGCCGAUGUCGGAUUAGCUAGCUGGCGGGGUAAAGGCCCACCAAGGCGCCGAUCCGUAGCUGGUCUGAGAGGAUGAUCAGCCACACUGGAACUGAGACACGGUCCCGACUCCUACGGGAGGCAGCAGUCGGGAAUAUUGGACAAUGGGCGCAAGCCUGAUCCAGCCAUACCGCGCCAGUGAAGAAGGCCUUCGGGUUGUAAAGCCCUUUUGUUGGGAAAGAAAAGCAGCAGGUUAAUACCCCGCUGUUCUGACGGUACCCAAAGAAUAAGCACCGGCUAACUUCGUG